This is a long non-coding RNA of Leopardus geoffroyi (Geoffroy's cat), 233 nucleotides long. RefSeq lists it as uncharacterized. The transcript has 2 exons. The record is from RefSeq and is a predicted model, not a curated record. NCBI's taxonomy places the organism in Eukaryota, Metazoa, Chordata, Mammalia, Carnivora, Felidae.
CUUCUCCCACCAGGUGGAGUGUCUUUUCCAAUUGGGACAUUAGGAGUUGGCCGCCUUCUGUGUGGCAGGACCGGCCUUUCCCCAAGCAGGAACCAGGAGACUUGUUACCUGGGCCUUUUGAAUAGCAAAGUGGUUAAUUUGGAUGAAGUCCGCCAAAUUAUGCUGGUGUCAAGAUCUUUGCUUAACCCUAAAUCCCCAAGUGUUUCUCCCCUAUUAUAGUUUUUCAAGUUUUA